AAGUCGUAACAAGGUUUCCGUAGGUGAACCUGCGGAAGGAUCAUUAACACGAAACAUAACGAAAUUUAUGUUUUCCAACUAAACCUGUGCUCUUUCUUUUUUUCCCACACCUUCAACCCUUUUUUUAAUUAAUUUUUUCUAUUUGUCCAAAGAACUACAGUUUUUUGGUUACAACUUAAAUAAAGUUGAACAUACAACUGUUAACAAUGGAUAUCUAGGCUCUCGUAAC
Molecule: unclassified non-coding RNA, 229 nt
Filed under: fungal sp.
Lineage: Eukaryota; Fungi
Description: partial internal transcribed spacer region
Rfam family: Eukaryotic small subunit ribosomal RNA (bases 1-46)
Source: RNAcentral